Molecule: ribosomal RNA, 497 nt
Filed under: uncultured bacterium
Lineage: Bacteria
Description: partial 16S ribosomal RNA
Rfam family: Bacterial small subunit ribosomal RNA
Source: RNAcentral
GAUGAACGCUGGCGGCGUGCCUAAUACAUGCAAGUCGAGCGAACGGACGAGAAGCUUGCUUCUCUGAUGUUAGCGGCGGACGGGUGAGUAACACGUGGAUAACCUACCUAUAAGACUGGGAUAACUUCGGGAAACCGGAGCUAAUACCGGAUAAUAUUUUGAACCGCAUGGUUCAAAAGUGAAAGACGGUCUUGCUGUCACUUAUAGAUGGAUCCGCGCUGCAUUAGCUAGUUGGUAAGGUAACGGCUUACCAAGGCAACGAUGCAUAGCCGACCUGAGAGGGUGAUCGGCCACACUGGAACUGAGACACGGUCCAGACUCCUACGGGAGGCAGCAGUAGGGAAGCUUCCACAAUGGGCGGAAGCCUGACGGAGCAACGCCGCGUGAGUGAUGAAGGUCCUCGGAUCGUAAAACUCUGUUAUUAGGGAAGAACAUAUGUGUAAGUAACUAUGCACAUCUUGACGGUACCUAAUCAGAAAGCCACGGCUAACUACGUG